Long non-coding RNA from Phyllostomus discolor (pale spear-nosed bat), 786 nucleotides. RefSeq lists it as uncharacterized. Lineage: Eukaryota; Metazoa; Chordata; Mammalia; Chiroptera; Phyllostomidae. The record is from RefSeq and is a predicted model, not a curated record. The transcript is spliced from 2 exons.
CUACUUUUCAUAUACAGUCAUUUUUUAUCCCUAUUACUUUUUAGUAGUUUUGUAAGAAACCUUUUUUUUCUGACAAUUUCAAGGGAUUUUUUUUAGUUUAAAUGUUAUUUUCUCAAUUUCAGACAGUGACAAAGCUUACCUAGAAAAGAACUGAUGUGAGGCAGUCGGUACAGAGUAAUUACAGAUUUAGGGCAGAUAGGACAAUUGCCUGUGCUUACGUUAGGUGAUCAUAAACUCCUUCUGCGUAACACAGUUAAAGUAAGCCACGUGCUUUGUAGAAUUACAGUAUGAAAUUCAUUCAUGUCUUUGCGAGACUGGGAAUGAUUACAACACACAAGGGCAAUAGGAGCCCCACAUUACUGCUGAAGAGCAUUGCUCUUUGUUAAGUAGGCAGAAUAAAGAUUUGAAAGGUGGGACAACUUCUGAACUGAUGACAGCAUUAUAAAUAUCUGGGAAGCCACCACCAGAAUUCCCAGCCUUGCAAAUAGUUAUAAUAAAUGGAAAAGUUCUUUUAAGAAAAAUGUGGCUACAAAUCUGAAAGGUCAGGGCAACAAACAACAUACACACCUAUUGAAGAGUGGCUGAGGCCUGGCCUUGAGUCGGCACCCAUGUGUAAGCAGGACAGGGGAGCGCUUGUUCUGGGCUCGGCCUUUUCAGCUGGCUGCACAGGUGCUCUUCUCUGCUCGAGUCACUGUGGCGUGAGAGCAGAGGCUUGCACACCUGUUGGAUCAUUUCAUAGCAUGAAAUACAAUGUAUGUUUUGGCCCAGUGUAUACAUAUAAAACCA